CAGAAUGGGUGGGUUUAUGGAAUCCCAUUUUUGUCAAACUAGUAGAUGAAAUGUCAUUAGGUGCCGCGGUGAUCACAGAGUAGCAGCAGGAGGAAACAAAGGCUUGUAUAUGUUUUGUAGUAGUUACUGUAAAGCUGAUUGUGAUAGUUUAGUUCAAGAGACACUCCUGGCACUUGUGCAAAUUCAAUGCAUAUGUUUAUAGUAACAUUCCUGCCUUUAUGUGGAUGUUUAAAGUUAGAAAGUUUUUAGAAAUGAGCACAGCAAUACUCAAGUUACUCAGUCUGUCAUUUGCAAGAGGGUGUGAACAGAGGCAGCUGAAACACAUGGCUCUCUAAAUCUAAUCUAGUAAGUGUGUGAUGUCUUACACAAGUGAAUGCACACUACUAACCCUAAAAGAAACUUAGGGAUUGGCCAGGAGAUAUCCAUUACUUCUGUAUUAUGUCAGAAAUGGAUGAAGA
Pelobates cultripes (western spadefoot toad) is the source of this 458-nucleotide non-coding RNA. Lineage: Eukaryota; Metazoa; Chordata; Amphibia; Anura; Pelobatidae. The record is from the annotation of a GenBank genome assembly.